CGCGCAGGCGGCUUUGGAAGUUGGGCGUGAAAGCCCCGGGCUCAACCCGGGAACAGCGCUCGAUACUCCGAGGCUUGAGUUCGGGAGAGGAGGGUGGAAUUCCCAGUGUAGAGGUGAAAUUCGUAGAUAUUGGGAAGAACACCGGUGGCGAAGGCGGCUCUCUGGACCGAUACUGACGCUGAGGCGCGAAAGCGUGGGGAGCAAACAGGGAUUAGAUACCCUGGUAGUCCACGCUGUAAACGAUGUGUGCUAGACGUUGGGGGGCGUAGCCCUCCGGUGUCGCAGCUAACGCGAUAAGCACACCGCCUGGGGAGUACGGCCGCAAGGUUAAA
Molecule: ribosomal RNA, 332 nt
Filed under: uncultured bacterium
Lineage: Bacteria
Description: bacterial SSU rRNA
Rfam family: Bacterial small subunit ribosomal RNA
Source: RNAcentral